UACGAAGGGGGCUAGCGUUGCUCGGAAUCACUGGGCGUAAAGGGUGCGUAGGCGGGUCUUUAAGUCAGGGGUGAAAUCCUGGAGCUCAACUCCAGAACUGCCUUUGGUACUGAAGAUCUUGAGUCCGGGAGAGGUGAGUGGAACUGCGAGUGUAGAGGUGAAAUUCGUAGAUAUUCGCAAGAACACCAGUGGCGAAGGCGGCUCACUGGCCCGAUACUGACGCUGAGGCACGAAAGCGUGGGGAGCAAACAGG
RNAcentral lists this ribosomal RNA (253 nucleotides) under uncultured bacterium. RNAcentral describes it as "partial 16S ribosomal RNA". It matches the Rfam family "Bacterial small subunit ribosomal RNA", at positions 524 to 776 of the family's 1533-position model. The record is from RNAcentral.